GAUGAACGCUGGCGGCGUGCCUAAUACAUGCAAGUCGAGCGAACAGACGAGGAGCUUGCUCCUCUGACGUUAGCGGCGGACGGGUGAGUAACACGUGGAUAACCUACCUAUAAGACCGGGAUAACUUCGGGAAACCGGAGCUAAUACCGGAUAACAUGUUGAACCGCAUGGUUCAACAGUGAAAGACGGUCUUGCUGUCACUUAUAGAUGGAUCCGCGCCGCAUUAGCUAGUUGGUAAGGUAACGGCUUACCAAGGCAACGAUGCGUAGCCGACCUGAGAGGGUGAUCGGCCACACUGGAACUGAGACACGGUCCAGACUCCUACGGGAGGCAGCAGUAGGGAAUCUUCCGCAAUGGGCGAAAGCCUGACGGAGCAACGCCGCGUGAGUGAAGAAGGUCUUCGGAUCGUAAAACUCUGUUAUUAGGGAAGAACAAAUGUGUAAGUAACUAUGCACGUCUUGACGGUACCUAAUCAGAAAGCCACGGCUAACUACGU
RNAcentral lists this ribosomal RNA (496 nucleotides) under uncultured bacterium. RNAcentral describes it as "partial 16S ribosomal RNA". It matches the Rfam family "Bacterial small subunit ribosomal RNA", at positions 28 to 506 of the family's 1533-position model. The record is from RNAcentral.